CCUUUCGUGGUGUAGUGGUCAGCACGCUCGACGCGUAUUCCAGAGGUCCGCGGUUCGAGUCCCGCGAAGGGU
RNAcentral lists this transfer RNA (72 nucleotides) under Stegodyphus mimosarum. It matches the Rfam family "tRNA". From Rfam's summary of the family: Transfer RNA (tRNA) molecules are approximately 80 nucleotides in length. Lineage: Eukaryota; Metazoa; Arthropoda; Arachnida; Araneae; Eresidae. The record is from Rfam by way of RNAcentral.